Molecule: unclassified non-coding RNA, 250 nt
Filed under: plant metagenome
Description: partial contains small subunit ribosomal RNA, internal transcribed spacer 1, and 5.8S ribosomal RNA
Source: RNAcentral
GUAGGUGAACCUGCGGAAGGAUCAUUAACACGUAUCCACGUAUCAACACUCUGUGAACUUAAUCUCCCUGACAUUAGAAAAGUUGUUAGCAUAGCUAGUGAUGGGUGUAUAGCGUAAAAAACUAUAUGCAGCUGUGAGAACUAGGGUUUCGAACCCGGCGCUUUCUUUUGUUGGGCCAACAUUUCUAUCACUACAAACACACCAUUUUAACCUUUAACUCAUCUUGACUGAUGUACUUAUGUAAGAGAAA